Molecule: ribosomal RNA, 495 nt
Filed under: uncultured bacterium
Lineage: Bacteria
Description: partial 16S ribosomal RNA
Rfam family: Bacterial small subunit ribosomal RNA
Source: RNAcentral
GACGAACGCUGGCGGCGUGCCUAAUACAUGCAAGUAGAACGCUGAAGGAGGAGCUUGCUUCUCUGGAUGAGUUGCGAACGUGUGAGUAACGCGUAUGUAACCUUCCUGGUAGCGGGGGAUAACUAUUGGAAACGAUAGCUAAUACCGCAUAAUAGUAUAUGUUGCAUGACAUUUUCUUAAAAGUUGCAAUUUCAUCACUACCAUAUGGACCUUCGUUGUAUUAUCUUGUUGGUGGGGUAACGGCUCACCAAGGCGACGAUACAUAGCCGACCUGAGAGGGUGAUCGGCCAAAAUGGGAAUGAGACACGGGCCAGACACCUACGGGAGGCAGCAGUAGGGAAUCUUCGGCAAUGGACGGAAGUCUGACCGAGCAACGCCGCGUGAGUGAAGAAGGUUUUCGGAUCGUAAAGCUCUGUUGUAAGAGAAGAACGAGUGUGAGAGUGGAAAGUUCACACUGUGACGGUAUCUUACCAGAAAGGGACGGCUAACUACGUG